This is a long non-coding RNA of Phragmites australis (common reed), 427 nucleotides long. RefSeq lists it as uncharacterized. The transcript is spliced from 3 exons. The record is from RefSeq and is a predicted model, not a curated record. NCBI's taxonomy places the organism in Eukaryota, Viridiplantae, Streptophyta, Magnoliopsida, Poales, Poaceae.
ACAUCCGCACCGAGUCGUCUUCGCGUCACCUGCCACGCCGGAGACUGAGAGCCUGCAGCGAUGGCGACCAACCACCUCCUCCUCCUCCUCGCCGCCGUGGCGUUCCUCCUCCUCCCUUCCACCACCGCCGCCGAGUACUGCUGCGAUAGGGGGCGGGAGUGCGGGACUACCCGGUGAAAGUGAGCGGCGUCGAGGUCGUCCGGGGCGAGCCCGCAACCUUCAAGAUCUCCGCCUCCACGGGGUUCUUACACUAUCACCAUGAAGCUGCUGGGGGACGGCAACUAGGAGCUGACCUGCAUCUCGUUCGGGUUCAGCAUCGGGUUCGUUCCACCUGUUGCCAUCAGCUAAACUCAACCGGAGCAGCAAAAAACACGCCGGGGAUGCAUUUACUGAAUCCUACUGAUAGUCAGUAACUAUCAAUAUCGGU